GAAAUGCGAUACGUAAUGUGAAUUGCAGAAUACCGCGAAUCAUCGAAUCCUUGAACGCACAUGGCGCUGACGAGCCCGCUCGUCAGCACGCCUGUUUGAGUGUCGUUUCCCAUCUCUCCCCUCCAACGCGCCUGCGUGCGCGUCUUGCAGGGAAGGAAGCUGGGUGUUGGAUUUGCAACAAAGCGAUCCAUCACUUGAAGGAGGGUGUCCCGCCUUCCCCAGUGCCGGGCCACGGUGUGCUGAAACAUGUCGCCGUGCCGUGCACGAAAUAAGGGACUGCCGGGCAAGAAUCAUGGUGGAGUUAAGUGGAGCUCUGCUUGUCACCAUGCGACCUCAAAUCAGGCGAGACCACCCGCUGAACUUAA
This 365-nucleotide unclassified non-coding RNA is filed under the name uncultured Hypocreales. RNAcentral describes it as "sequence contains ITS1". The stretch from base 1 to 105 matches the Rfam family "5.8S ribosomal RNA", at positions 50 to 154 of the family's 154-position model. Lineage: Eukaryota; Fungi; Ascomycota; Sordariomycetes; Hypocreales. The record is from RNAcentral.